RNAcentral lists this small nucleolar RNA (141 nucleotides) under Nicotiana sylvestris (wood tobacco). The record is from RNAcentral. Lineage: Eukaryota; Viridiplantae; Streptophyta; Magnoliopsida; Solanales; Solanaceae. RNAcentral also lists the same sequence under 1 other name.
AUCCCAAUUAAGCUGAGAUUUGAUCAGUGCUUAUUUGAUUCAUGGGAGGCCUAAAUCAAACUCACAAAAUGGAGGUUUCGCUGAUAACGCCUUUUCUCUUUUUUCAAGAAGGCGUUUACUAGUAACCAUUCCCAUAUAUAU